UACGGAGGGUGCAAGCGUUUAUCCGGAUUUACUGGGUUUAAAGGGUGUGUAGGCGGACUUUUAAGUCAGCGGUGAAAUCUCCGGGCUCAACCCGGAAACUGCCAUUGAUACUAUUAGUCUUGAAUAUUGUUGAGGUAGGCGGGAACGGGUCAUGUAGCGGUGAAAUGCAUAGAUAUGACCCGGAACACCGAUGCGAAGGCAGCCUACUAAGCAAUUAUUGACGCUGAGGCACGGAAAGCGUGGGGAUCAA
Molecule: ribosomal RNA, 250 nt
Filed under: uncultured bacterium
Lineage: Bacteria
Description: partial 16S ribosomal RNA
Rfam family: Bacterial small subunit ribosomal RNA
Source: RNAcentral